RNAcentral lists this ribosomal RNA (253 nucleotides) under uncultured bacterium. RNAcentral's name for it is "partial 16S ribosomal RNA". It matches the Rfam family "Bacterial small subunit ribosomal RNA", at positions 524 to 776 of the family's 1533-position model. The record is from RNAcentral.
GACAGAGGGUGCAAACGUUGUUCGGAAUCACUGGGCGUAAAGCGCGUGUAGGCGGCAAUGUAAGUCGGAUGUGAAAUCCCGCGGCUCAACCGUGGAAGUGCACCCGAAACUACAUAGCUAGAGUGUCGGAGAGGAAGGUGGAAUGCUUGGUGUAGAGGUGAAAUUCGUAGAUAUCAAGCGGAACACCGGUGGCGAAGGCGGCCUUCUGGACGACGACUGACGCUGAGACGCGAAAGCGUGGGUAGCAAACAGG